AGAGUUUGAUCCUGGCUCAGGACGAACGCUGGCGGCGUGCCUAAUACAUGCAAGUAGAACGCACAGUUUAUACCGUAGCUUGCUACACCAUAGACUGUGAGUUGCGAACGGGUGAGUAACGCGUAGGUAACCUGCCUGGUAGCGGGGGAUAACUAUUGGAAACGAUAGCUAAUACCGCAUAAUAUUGAUUAUUGCAUGAUAAUUAAUUGAAAGGUGCAAUUGCACCACUACCAGAUGGACCUGCGUUGUAUUAGCUAGUAGGUGAGGUAACGGCUCACCUAGGCGACGAUACAUAGCCGACCUGAGAGGGUGAUCGGCCACACUGGGACUGAGACACGGCCCAGACUCCUACGGGAGGCAGCAGUAGGAAAUCUUCGGCAAUGGACGAAAGUCUGACCGAGCAACGCCGCGUGAGUGAAGAAGGUUUUCGGAUCGUAAAGCUCUGUUGUAAGAGAAGAACGGGUGUGAGAGUGGAAAGUUCACACUGUGACGGUAUCUUACCAGAAAGGGACGGCUAACUACGUGCCAGCAGCCGCGGU
Molecule: ribosomal RNA, 539 nt
Filed under: unidentified oral bacterium AP60-36
Lineage: Bacteria
Description: bacterial SSU rRNA
Rfam family: Bacterial small subunit ribosomal RNA
Source: RNAcentral